RNAcentral lists this ribosomal RNA (37 nucleotides) under uncultured Craterellus. RNAcentral describes it as "partial 18S ribosomal RNA". The record is from RNAcentral. Lineage: Eukaryota; Fungi; Basidiomycota; Agaricomycetes; Cantharellales; Hydnaceae.
GACGUCUGCUUCGUAGAGAGCCUGCGGAGGAUCAUUC